RNAcentral lists this ribosomal RNA (497 nucleotides) under uncultured bacterium. Its description in RNAcentral is "partial 16S ribosomal RNA". It matches the Rfam family "Bacterial small subunit ribosomal RNA", at positions 28 to 507 of the family's 1533-position model. The record is from RNAcentral.
GAUGAACGCUGGCGGCGUGCCUAAUACAUGCAAGUCGAGCGAACGGACGAGAAGCUUGCUUCUCUGAUGUUAGCGGCGGACGGGUGAGUAACACGUGGAUAACCUACCUAUAAGACUGGGAUAACUUCGGGAAACCGGAGCUAAUACCGGAUGAUAUUUUAAACGGCAGGGUUCAAAAGUAAAAGAGGGUUUUCCUGUAACUAAUAGAUGAAUCCGCGCUGCAUUAGCUAGUUGGUAAGGUAACGGCUUACCAAGGCAACGAUGCAUAGCCGACCUGAGAGGGUGAUCGGCCACACUGGAACUGAGACACGGUCCAGACUCCUACGGGAGGCAGCAGUAGGGAAUCUUCCGCAAUGGGCGAAAGCCUGACGGAGCAACGCCGCGUGAGUGAUGAAGGUCUUCGGAUCGUAAAACUCUGUUAUUAGGGAAGAACAUAUGUGUAAGUAACUGUGCACAUCUUGACGGUACCUAAUCAGAAAGCCACGGCUAACUACGUG